CGAGCCCGUUGCCAUGAUCGCUCAGGCUUGGGUUGACAAGGGCAGUCGCCGCCUCGGGACGGGGCCCGGGAAGGGACAAUCGCCGCUCGAGCUCCCGCGACCUCAUAGGCGGCGGCGCCCACGUGAUCGGGCCUGUCACAGAAACCGCGGCGGCCAUCUUGGAAGAGGGCGGAAAGCCGCCUGAGCCCGGCCGGAGGGAGGGCGCUGGCUUUCUGACGGAGCACAACUUGGAGAAGCAGAAGGGAAUGCAGUUGGGAAGGUGUAACAGCAUCCCAGAAUCCCAGACUAAAGACGGUAUCAUAACUACUCACAGGGCCUGGAAGAAUACAGAGACAAAUGAGGACAGCUGUGGUGCGAGAGGCACGAGAUCUUGGUUGAAAUUUGCCUCUCCAUUUGGACCAACGAUAUCAACCUUGGGGUCUUCAUAUCCUUAGACCCAGAAGUCCAUCCCACUUCCAGAGGUUUCCACUGUGAAUCAGAAAGGCAGACUAAGCUUUCCAUGGUGAUAUGUCACCAGGAAAAACCCUCUCUGCCCCCGGCACUGUGCUGCGUAUUUUAUAUAUGCCUUGCUAUCUACAUACAGCAGCCCUGGGAUAGGUCCCAUCAGAAAUCCCAUUUUACAGAUCAAGAAAGAAAUUGUUACUCAGAGAAGACACUUGCCCACGUCACGCAGCUAGUAAGGGGUUCUAGCUCAGCAUGGUCUGACACUGGCACCCGGCUCCCAACACCCACGCUAACUCCCACACCAGGACUUUGUGCACAAAAAUACUCAACAUAUGGAAAGGAAGGAAAAAAAAAAUAGAGAAACCAAAAACCAAACCCUUAACUAUAGAGAACAAGCAGAUGGUUACCAGAGGGGUAGUGGGUGGGGGGUGGAGGAAAGAGGUGAAAGGGAUUAAAAAGUACAAUGAUGAUGCGCACUGAGUCAUGUAGAGAAUUAUUGAAUCACUAUAUUAUACACCUGGAACUAAUAUAAUGCUGUAUGUUCAUGAUACUGGAAUUAAAAUUUUUUUUAAAUUAAUAAAAGCUAAAAAAAAUACUCAACAAAUGUUUACACAUAACUGAACCCAUAUGUAUGUCUAUGUAUUUGUAUAUAAAUAUAUAUACACGCUAAUCCUCAGCCAUGUGAAAAUUGUAUGCAGAGAAAAACACUGGAAGCAAAUAUGCCAAUAUAGUAAUAGUGGUUAUCCUGGGUGGCGGAAUUAGGAGGACUUCGUUUCUUCUUUAUUUUUUUCUAUAUUUUCCAAAUUUUCUGCAAUUAACAUGCAUUGUUCUGAUAACUGGAAAACAUAUAAUUUUUAAAUGAAAUAAACAUUCUUUGAUUGUUCUAUCA
Molecule: long non-coding RNA, 1333 nt
Organism: Leopardus geoffroyi (Geoffroy's cat)
Lineage: Eukaryota; Metazoa; Chordata; Mammalia; Carnivora; Felidae
Exons: 3
Source: RefSeq, a predicted model, not a curated record